Molecule: unclassified non-coding RNA, 295 nt
Filed under: rhizosphere metagenome
Description: partial ribosomal RNA internal transcribed spacer region
Source: RNAcentral
GAAUAGCAAGGACUUUUGGUUGUCGCUGGCUCCCUCGGGGGCAUGUGCACGCCUGGUCCAAACUUUCAUUCAUUAACCUCCUGUGCACUUUUUGUGGAUCGCGGAUGAGCAAACUUUUUCGAAGUAACAUUCGGUUUUGGGACUUGCGUCUAAUCCGCGCUUGUCUCUACUAGUUUAUCCGCGGUUCAUGUCUUUUCUACACACUACAAAUUUAAACCUAGAAUGCUUCAAAGUUGGGACUUUAGUGACCCUUCUUAAAUUUAAUACAACUUUCAACAACGGAUCUCUUGGCUCU